Alexandromys fortis (reed vole) is the source of this 305-nucleotide long non-coding RNA. RefSeq lists it as uncharacterized. The transcript has 2 exons. The record is from RefSeq and is a predicted model, not a curated record. Lineage: Eukaryota; Metazoa; Chordata; Mammalia; Rodentia; Cricetidae.
ACCAGAUGCCGGAGGAACGGGAUUGCUAAGUAAUUUUGCCCAAAGUCGCCGAGAGGGCGGUGACAAAUCAACUCACGUCUGCUACUCCGGGUUGUCCCCAGCACGCUGGGUUCCGGGCCGGCAGGAGUCUCCUAGAUGAGCUGUGCUGUGGUGAGGCGGCUUUUUAAUAGGUUGUUGACGAGCAGACCCAGAGGAAGGAGGGAUCGGAACGCUAUUGGCAUGCUGCACAGUAUCAGUGUCUAAGACAGUAACUGCUUGAUGAGCCAGAGGUUCUGAUGCUCCUACACAUGGUUGAUUGGAAGCUG